GAGCUGAAGGCAGCGGCUUAAUCCACUGAGCCACCCAGGCACCCCUCAUUAAAGCCUAUUUUUGUUCUGAAAGCUACUGUCUGAAGAAGGUGUAUAUUCGAAUGCAGCUAUUAUAUAUUCCAAAUGUCAUAUUCCUCAACACCUGUUUGAAAGAGCACAUUAUAUCAAGAAGGAAGUGUCACCGAAGCUACGAGAAGGACAGAUUCUACCAAAGUGCCGGAAGUCAGGGGACUGUCAGACAAGAAACUGCUGUGUCCUUCUGAGGCUGUCCUUGACCAGGAUGCGGACGGCAGCAGAGGACAAAACCCAAGAGGGGUGGCAGAGAGUGUCUCUUCAAGGAAGAUAUUGUCAGGAAAUUGAAAAAUUGGGCUACCCCAUCCAGACUGUCUAAACAAGGAUGCCUGAAAGAAGAAGAACAGGGGGAAACGCAGCCUGGGGAAGAGAUGCAUUUGGGGUCAGAGAAACACAGAUCUGGACAAUUCCAACUUGUCGUGGUAACCAUCAAUCAAGCAGCCUCAUCUAGAAUGCUGAGCGCUCUGGGAUCCAGGGAAGAAGCUGUUAUGCCCAAGCUUUGUGCCUAGGAUGAGAAGCUGUUGGUUCUUGCCUCUUCUUUUCAGAGGGUAAUACUUUCCGCUUCUGGGGUGCAAAACGGGGAAAGGAACCCACAGUUACUUUUAUUGGUGUGUUUUUAAAGUGACUCAGGCACACGAGUUCGGAAAAAAUUGA
This is a long non-coding RNA of Neogale vison (American mink), 726 nucleotides long. RefSeq lists it as uncharacterized. Lineage: Eukaryota; Metazoa; Chordata; Mammalia; Carnivora; Mustelidae. The record is from RefSeq and is a predicted model, not a curated record. The transcript is spliced from 3 exons.